AUUAUAUAUAAAGAGAAGAAUCAAGACUCAGAGGACAUCAAGGGAACAGUGGCCAACGCAUGGAAGGCCACCUUCUCAUCAAGCCAACAUGAAGGUCAACUUGACCUUGCUCGCCCUCAUGGUGCUGAUUUGGUCUAUGAUGGCCACCGAAGAAGUGUCGGGGAUGAAGGACUCCGCUGACUUGAGAUCUACCCACCUGUGGUCCCGACGGUUCAGGAAAGACACCCUCAAAGCUAAGAGGAACGUCGACCUUGGACUCCUCGUUUGGGCUUUCACGAAAAGAUUCAAUAAAAGUAUUGGGAAGGAUAAUCCAAUUACAUACCGGCCUGCGCCAGAUCACCCAGUAGCCAUGUCAUAAAACUCUUAUGCAGGACCCCACGGGAGGAGCCGUCGGCGACCACGCGUGGCAUUUUGUAGGUUGCCAGGUGUAUGAUCCAGAUGUCCAGGAUUGGGUCCCUUG
Non-coding RNA from Pogona vitticeps (central bearded dragon), 460 nucleotides. NCBI's taxonomy places the organism in Eukaryota, Metazoa, Chordata, Lepidosauria, Squamata, Agamidae. The record is from RefSeq and is a predicted model, not a curated record.